GGAUGUGAGGGCAAUCUGGCUGCAACAUCUGUCACCCCAUUGAUCACCAGGGUUGAUUCCGCUGAUCGGGGUGGCUGGCGGGUGUCCCCUUCCUCCCUCACCACUACAUGUGUGUCCCUCCAGAAGCUGCGUGCUAGGUUGAAGAGGACGGCCUUCCCCGAAUAGCGACUGACCAGUCUUCCUUUCCAGGAUAUACGAACAGCUGCACUCCCCUAUUAGAAACUCCAGACAAGCUCUUAAGGUCCAAACUGCCCCAACAUCAUGACCCAUCUUCCUCAGGUGUAGCAUAGGUAUGUUGUCCAUCCUCCCU
RNAcentral lists this small nuclear RNA (310 nucleotides) under Erinaceus europaeus (western European hedgehog). RNAcentral describes it as "7SK RNA". It matches the Rfam family "7SK RNA", at positions 1 to 279 of the family's 331-position model. From Rfam's summary of the family: 7SK was discovered as an abundant small nuclear RNA in the mid-70s but a possible function has only recently been suggested. Lineage: Eukaryota; Metazoa; Chordata; Mammalia; Eulipotyphla; Erinaceidae. The record is from Rfam by way of RNAcentral.